RNAcentral lists this ribosomal RNA (303 nucleotides) under uncultured bacterium. Its description in RNAcentral is "partial 16S ribosomal RNA". It matches the Rfam family "Bacterial small subunit ribosomal RNA", at positions 507 to 808 of the family's 1533-position model. The record is from RNAcentral.
AACAGCAGCCGCGGUAAUACGUAUGGGGCGAGCGUUGUCCGGAAUUAUUGGGCGUAAAGGGUACGUAGGCGGUUUUUUAAGUCAGGUGUGAAAGCGUGAGGCUUAACCUCAUUAAGCACUUGAAACUGGAAGACUUGAGUGAAGGAGAGGAGAGUGGAAUUCCUAGUGUAGCGGUGAAAUGCGUAGAUAUUAGGAGGAAUACCGGUGGCGAAGGCGACUUUCUGGACUUUUACUGACGCUCAGGUACGAAAGCGUGGGGAGCAAACAGGAUUAGAUACCCCAGUAGUCCCUGUCUCUUAUACA